This 426-nucleotide ribosomal RNA is filed under the name uncultured bacterium. RNAcentral's name for it is "bacterial SSU rRNA". It matches the Rfam family "Bacterial small subunit ribosomal RNA", at positions 355 to 772 of the family's 1533-position model. The record is from RNAcentral.
UGGGGAAUUUUGGACAAUGGGCGCAAGCCUGAUCCAGCCAUUCCGCGUGCAGGAUGAAGACCUUCGGGUCGUAAACUCCUUUCGAUCGAGACGAAUGGCCUCCGGGUGACUAGUCCGGAGGAGUGACGGUACCGAGAGAAGAAGCCCCGGCUAACUCCGUGCCAGCAGCCGCGGUAAUACGGGGGGGGCAAGCGUUGUUCGGAAUUACUGGGCGUAAAGGGCUCGUAGGCGGCCAACUAAGUCAGACGUGAAAUCCCUCGGCUUAACCGGGGAACUGCGUCUGAUACUGGAUGGCUUGAGUUUGGGAGAGGGAUGCGGAAUUCCAGGUGUAGCGGUGAAAUGCGUAGAUAUCUGGAGGAACACCGGUGGCGAAGGCGGCAUCCUGGACCGAUACUGACGCUGAGGAGCGAAAGCCAGGGGAGCAAA